Molecule: non-coding RNA, 1592 nt
Organism: Meleagris gallopavo (turkey)
Lineage: Eukaryota; Metazoa; Chordata; Aves; Galliformes; Phasianidae
Source: RefSeq, a predicted model, not a curated record
GCCAAGCCUAUCUAUCCAUUGGCUUCCCCCAUGUUCAGGCCAACUGGAGGCUCUUGGUGGGGUUAAGCCCUACCUCUCUCAGCAUUUCGGGCCACAUCCUGAUCAAAGAACAGACUACAAAGAUCUUGAUGCCAUGACUGGAACAGUGCUGGAGGAGCUUUGUACGCAGUGAGUAACUCUUCACGUAGAGUGGGUGUGCAAGCCUGCCCUAAUGCCACUGUCUGCUGAGUCAACUUGAACAUGGGACUACAUAUGACAAGAAGGUCUGUGGUGCCAGAUGCUGAUUUAGAGAUGAACAGGAGAAUCCUGACCUUAAUGCUGUUCUCUUCUUUCUGCCUUGCUGGGGGAAAUACUUUCAACUGCGAGGCAAGUAAUGUACCAUGUUACAGCCACAAUAAUGUUUAAUGGUUGUGUCCUGUGGCUGAGGUUAAUGACUAGUUAGGGAAGCUUUCACACAGAGGAAUAUAAAAUAUAAAAUAAAGCUCACAAGGAGGAAGAAAGAGGGUAAUGACAAUUGCUGGCAGUUGUGGACCCUGAUCCCUGAGGUGGAUGCUUUAAAAGCCAGCCCAGCAGGCUCUUCUCAGGGCAGUGACUUUGCUAAGUCUCUGGGAGGGUGAAGAAGACCUUGCAGCCAUGCUUACCUGUGUCUGUGAUUGCUGGUGCUGGUGCAAGUGGAACAUCCUUGCUCAGAGCUGGCCCCACACCAGGCCAUUUUUAUAAUGUCUCACCCUUUCUGCAGUGCCCUUUCACAGCUGUGUUGUCAGUGCUUUGUAACCAGAUUCCACUGGUCUUUCUGAUCAUUGCAUGCCUUCUUCUCUGCUCUCCCUGCUUUCAUUUUUUAUUCACAGAUGUUACUAAAGCACUUUCCUCCCUCUUUCCCCCCCUUCUCUUUAAUGAUUUGCUGCAUUAAAAAAAGUCCCUCUGUGCCUGUACAAGUAAUAAAUGAGAGCCAAGGGAGAAGCCAGGCUCUACUCCCUGAAGCCAGGCCUCUGCUUUCCCAAGCUUGGAGCUGUGCUCCAUGUGCCAGCUGUGUGUCACUGUUCUCAGCUGCUGCCAGAUGUGCCAGUCCCCUCAUCCUUGUCUGCACAGGCACAAGGCUGGUCUCCAGGGCUGAGAAAGGGGCAGAGAUCUCUGCAGACCCUAGACCAAAGGUAGGUCCAAGCCAUGCUGGACAGUUCUGGCCAGUCUGGAUAUAAUGGUGUGGCAUCAAGGUGCUGUGUGUGGAGCUACUACAGGUCUUGCAACUAAUGACUGCUACACUUGGGAGAACUUUCAGGACCCACAGCAGUCCCUUUAGCUUUAUUUUAUAGGACAUAUCAAGCCAUCUCCCCUAUAACUGUCACUGUGGGUGAAGGCAGCUUGCUUUGCAAUGGGAGUUGAUGUUCUCCUCUGGACCUGAAUCCAAAGGAUUGUGUUUCUCAGUAGAGAGGCAUUGGAACAGGACACUGAGGGAGGUGGUGGAGUCACUGUCCCUGGAAAAAGGGUAGAUAUUGCACUUCGUAGUAUUAUUUAGUGGUAUGAUGGUGGUGGGUUGAUGAUCUUAGUGGCUUUUCCAGCCUUAAUGAAUCUAUGUUUCUAUGCUCCAUGUCUCC